GGGUCUUGGGAUAUUUGGGGUUAAAGUGUCCUUGGGUUUGAAUAGUACUGGGCUGGGUGACCUCCCGGGAAGUCCAAACUCAGGAGCUU
Molecule: non-coding RNA, 89 nt
Organism: Selaginella moellendorffii
Lineage: Eukaryota; Viridiplantae; Streptophyta; Lycopodiopsida; Selaginellales; Selaginellaceae
Source: Rfam